GGAGAGGUCGCAUAGUUGGUCUAGUGCGCACGCCUGGAAAGUGUGUAUACCGAAAGGUAUCGAGGGUUCGAAUCCCUCCCUCUCCG
This 86-nucleotide transfer RNA is filed under the name Candidatus Magasanikbacteria bacterium RIFOXYA2_FULL_44_8. Its description in RNAcentral is "tRNA-Ser". It matches the Rfam family "tRNA". Rfam says of the family: Transfer RNA (tRNA) molecules are approximately 80 nucleotides in length. Their secondary structure includes four short double-helical elements and three loops (D, anti-codon, and T loops). Lineage: Bacteria; Candidatus Magasanikiibacteriota. The record is from RNAcentral.